This 24-nucleotide non-coding RNA is filed under the name Cricetulus griseus (Chinese hamster). The record is from RNAcentral. Lineage: Eukaryota; Metazoa; Chordata; Mammalia; Rodentia; Cricetidae.
ACUUGUAGAAAACACCACGGCAGC